GGCUGCCUACGGGACGCAGCAGUAGGGAAUCUUUCACAAUGGGCGAAAGCCUGAUGGAGCAACGCCGCGUGCAGGAUGAAGGCCUUCGGGUUGUAAACUGCUUUUAUAAGCGAGAAAUAUGAUGGUAACUUAUGAAUAAGGAUCGGCUAACUACGUGCCAGCAGCCGCGGUAAUACGGAGGAUCCAAGCGUUAUCCGGAUUUAUUGGGUUUAAAGGGUGCGUAGGCGGAUUGAUAAGUUAGAGGUGAAAUGUCCGAGCUUAACUCGGGAACUGCCUCUAAUACUGUUGAUCUAGAGAGUAGAUGG
Molecule: ribosomal RNA, 305 nt
Filed under: uncultured bacterium
Lineage: Bacteria
Description: bacterial SSU rRNA
Rfam family: Bacterial small subunit ribosomal RNA
Source: RNAcentral